RNAcentral lists this long non-coding RNA (4455 nucleotides) under Marmota monax (woodchuck). The record is from RNAcentral. Lineage: Eukaryota; Metazoa; Chordata; Mammalia; Rodentia; Sciuridae.
GCACAAGGUGUCCCAGUCAGCAAAGGCAAAUUUCCCAAGAAGGUGACUUACUAUUUGGGCCAUUCACAGAAGCAGCAGAGGACCUAGGAGCCAGAGACCUAAUCAUCAAAAGGAUCCAGGGGACCUGGGUGUGGCACCUCUGCUGCCCAGCUACUUUCUUAACAGGGGUGACGGCCAGCGUCUCAUUGGGGGGUUCUUCUUCCUGCAGAGGAGGGUGUAAGCCACCUGGAAACUUCAAGUCUCAAAUAAUUAGUGAAGAACAAAACGCAAAGAGUCAGAAAUAUAUUCACAAAAAGCAGAGCCCCUGGCAGAUCUAGGCCACACGGGCGCUGGCACCGGACAAAGGAAAGAUGGGGUGGUGGUUUAUUUAAGGGGGAACAUCCAAGGCAGGGGUAAGGGCUCAAAGGCGGAGUCUUGCUUCAUGGUGUCCUGCAGUGGGCAGGGUGAUGGGCAUCUUGGCAGGUCCCACCCAUCUCAGGUCCAGUGUGGGGUCGCCGGCAGAGCUUGAGGAGGAAGUGCAUCCGUAUCAGGUGGUCAGUCCCUGUGGGUGCCACGGGGAGUUCCCGGUGCCAGACGUACCCCUCAGGAGGGUGCGAUGCCCAACACCGUCCACACAGCCCACGGGCAGCUCUCAACCCUUUUCCUUGUUUUGAAGAAAACAAAGGUUGACGUUCUGGGCAGAUGACACCACAGGACAAGAAAGUUUCCGAUCAAUGUUUUAGGCUUUGAAGGCCAUGUGGUCCUGUCACGAUGACCUAACUGUGUCCUUCUGGCACUCAAGCAAGCCUGGACAACAGGAAAAUGAGUGGAUGCAUCCAUGUUCCUGGAAGGCUUUGUUCACUACAACUGUCAAUUUGGCCUCUGGGCCACGGUUGGCAGGUCCCUGCAGACUCUCCUGCCAGGUCAGCAACCUCGACCACUUGGUGCUGGCCAGUGUGUGAACACUCCUCUAAGAAGCCAAAUUUGACCUGUUGCAGCCCCUCUCGUGAGUUUUCAAGGCACAAGCUGGGACCCCCAAGACAGAAGCUCAGACUGGUAGCUCAAGUUUUUUGUCCAAUUUUGAAACAAACUAUGUUAAGUCCAGGGUUUAAUCUCUCUAUGGAGCCUGAACACAUCACUGAAAUCUUCAGGAGAUGGAAAACAUAACUUGGUGGUUUGCAAAGAUGACACCAUCCCCAGCAAAAGAAUGCUCUUGAAUCCCUGCCUCACACCAUAUAAAACAACUGAACUCAGAGUGGGUCAAAGAGUUAAUUAAGCACAAGAGCUAAAACUAUAAAAUUCUUAUAAGAAAAUGUAGAGGUGAAUCUUUGCAAAACUAGGAUUAAGCAAUGGCUGAUUGUAGAUAUGACACCUAGACCGUGAACAACCAAAGAAAAUAAUAAAUAGAGCUUCAUCAAAAUUAAAAACUGGUGCAUCAAGUAAAAGUGUGAUGUUUAAUUUUAUGUCCACAUGGGUACUCUACAGGAUCCAGUUAUUUAAGAAAAACAUUAGUCUAGAUAUUACUGUGAGGGUGCUUUGUAGAUGUGAUUAACAUCUAUAGUCAGUUGAUAUUAAGUGAGGAUUAUUUUCAGCAUUGUAGGUGGGCCUCCCCCAAUCAGUUGAAGACCUUGAUGGCAAGAUCUGAGGGUUAUGGGAGAAAAACAAAAAUUCUCUCUCAAGACUAUAGCAUCAAUUCUAUCUGAGAUUCUAGCCUGCUGGCCUGUCAUGAAAUUCAGACUUGCCAGUUCCCACAGUUGUGUGAGACAGUUCAUUAAAACAGGUCUUUUAUGUUUUUUAAAAUUGUUUCUAUUGCUUCUGUUUUUCUGGGGAAUCCUGACGGAUUUAGACACUCAAGACAAUCCACGGGAAGGAAAAAUAUUUGUAAAUCGUAUACUGAUAAGAGUCUACUGUCCAGAAUAUAAAGAACUCAUAAUUCGACAGCAAAACAUAAUAAUAAUGAUAAUGAUAAUGACCUAGCUGGAAAAUAGGCAAAUGGAUUGAACAUACAUUUCUGCAAAGAAGAUAUGCAAAUAGCGAAUGAGUCCGUGAAGACAUGUCAACACUAGUCACGAGGGAAAUGCAAAUCAAAACCAUGAGAUAACACGGCACAUUCACUUGGAUGGCUCUGGUUUAGAAAGGGAAAAAAAUAAGCCUUGGGAUGUGGAGAAAUUGAACUCUCAUAAAGUGCUAGUGGGAAUGUAGUAGCCACUCAGCACCUAGUUAGAAGUUCACCGGAAAGUGGAACAGAUCUGCCGUGGGACCUGGCAAUUCCACGGUAGAGGUGGACACUGGAGUAUUUAACCAAGAGAGCGGAAAACACAUUCACCCAAAAACUGUGCAAAAUAUCUCCAGCAGCGUUAUUCACGAGAGCCUAAAAGGGUCAACUGACCAGAUGUCCAUCAACAGCAAGUGUGUGAGCAAAACGUGGAGUAGACACCUGGAGGAAUGAAGUACUAAUUUAGUCAGCUCUUUGGCUGCUGUGACUAAAAGACCGACCAGCACGACUGUAGGGGAGAAGUUUAUUUGAGGGCUCAAGGUUUCAGAGGUCUUGGUCCAUAGAAGGCCGGCUCCUUUCCUGGGGCUCCGGGUGAGGCUGAACGUGAUGGUGGAAGAGUGUGGCAGAAGGAAGCAGCUCACGUGACGAUCAGGAAGCAGAGAGAGACCUCCACUCCCCAGAAACAAAAUACACGCCCCGUAGCCGCGUCCCCCAUGAAUGACUUCCCCCAGCCACACCCGCUGCCUCCAGUUACCACGGGGCUCAUCCCAUCAGGGAUUCAUUCGCUGAUUAUGUUAAGGCCAUGACCCCAUCACUUCUCCUCCAAACCUUCUCGCAUUGCCUCACACGGGAGUUUUGGGGGGAAACUCACCUCCCAUCCAAACCAUACCCAGUACCUGUCCACAGUACCGCACGGAUAACCCUGGGGAACACUGGGCUAAAUGAGGACAGUCAGGCACCAAGCCAUACGCCGUGCGAUUCCAGUGCCGACCAAUGUCCGGAAUAGGCACACCCUUAGACACAGAAGGAGGUCAGCGGUUGCCAGGGGUUGGGGACAUGGAGGAGAAAGGGAGUGAGUGACUGCUCAUGGUUUCUUUCAGGGCUGUUGAAAAUGUCCUGGCAUUAAACUGUGUGACAGUGCCCCAAUCCUGUGACCACACCAAGCCCGUGCAUUUAAAACAGCAAAUUCCAUGAGAUAGGAAGACCUCGCUAUUUGGAGACUGGAACGGCAGACGGACAAUAUUAACUGCCCGCCCCAAUAUCUGCUCCUAGGAUGGGGCAUGGCGUUUGGAACCCAGGAAGCCGUCUUGGGUGGUGAUGGGUGUCAGCCAGACAGAGGGAGCCCAGGCCCCAUGAUUAUGAGCUGCCUGCCUUAGGCCUCUUUUACAUUGGGAAGAAAUAAACGUCUUUUCAUUGAAGAAGAAAAAAGGUAACCCCUUGUUUUGCUCAUGCCUCUCGGCUUCCUCCUGCAACGGCUCGGCUGUUCUUGUCAGUGUCGACGGUGGCGGCUUGAAGCCCACGGACUGGAGUCUCAGGAUACUUGUUCACUCUCAACUCUGGAAGAUGAUGGUGGCCAUUGGCUGGCAGAUAGGACACCUAGCUGUCCAUGGGACUGGGCUUCCUGCCAUCCCAGAACUCAAGGGGCAUCCUAAAUAGGAGACACAGAGGCUCCCCAGGUAGGUGUGACACCUUUUAUGACCUAGCCUCAGGGUCGAGGAAAGUGGGGUUGCUGAAGAGAUGAUCACCAUUAGAGACAAACCAAGUACUUUGCACAGGCACCGUGGGAAAGAUGCCUGAUGGCAUCUCAGGAAUCAGCAAGACCCCAGCCACUGCAGGAUCAAAGCGUAAACUCAUUUGAAAGGCUGCUUUGAGGGAAAAAAAAAUUAAAAUUGUGAAAGGAUAAAAACGUUAUGCCACACCAACACUAAUCAAAAGAAAAUUGGAAUGACCAUAUUAAUGUCAGUCAAAGCAGAUUCCAAACCAAAGAACAUAAUAAAGGGCUCAAUUUAUUACAGCAUUCUAAGGUUUCCCAGUCUGCAUCCCCAAACUUUUCUAAACUCCUCUCACAAACCAGUUCAAAGGCCUCUGAAUCACGUAGUCAGGUUAAUUACAGCAUGUGCCCACUUCUUGGUACCAGUUUCUGCUGUGCCCCAAGUGCCUGAUGAGAACAACUUGCAGAAGAAAAAGUUUAUUUUUGACUCACAGUUUCAGAGGCCUCAGCCCAUGGUCAGCCGUCUCCAUUUCUUUGGGCCUGAAGUGAGGCAGAACAGCGUGGUGUGGGGUGUGGAGAGGAGGGCUGCUCAGCUCCUGUCAGCCAGAAAAGCAAAGAGAGUUCGUGCUUCUACUUUUUUUUUUUAAAAGAGAGAGUGAGAGAGAAUUUUUUUAAUAUUUAUUUUUUAGUUUUCGGCGGACACAACAUCUUUGUUUGUAUGUGGUGCUGAGGAUCGAACCUGGGCCACACGCAUGCCAGGCGAGCGCGC